AUGAAUGGCAGUAGCAGUGGCAGGGGCAGGGGAGGGGGAGGGUACGAGAGCGGGAGUGACCAUGACACCCAGAAGCAGCCGGUGCUGGUGAACACGGGGAGCUGGUACAAGAUGGGGUCGCGCCAGUCCAGCCUCAUGGCGGGGACCUCCUCCAUGGCCAUCAUGCGGGAGUCCCACGUCUCCGUCUUCCUCUGCACCAUGAUCGUCGUGCUCGGCCCCAUCCAGUUCGGCUUCACCGACGGCUUCUCCUCCCCCACCCAGGCCGCCAUCAUCCGUGACCUCAACCUCUCCAUCUCCGAGGUCCGUCCUUUGUUCUCCAUUCAUUCAUCGCCCCUCUCUCUGGCUUACUAA
This 351-nucleotide ribosomal RNA is filed under the name Triticum aestivum (bread wheat). Its description in RNAcentral is "partial small subunit ribosomal RNA". Lineage: Eukaryota; Viridiplantae; Streptophyta; Magnoliopsida; Poales; Poaceae. The record is from RNAcentral.